GCUCUUUUGAGGGGAGGAGAUUGCCACUGUCUGCAAGCAAAUGCCAAGUUUAUUAUUCUUUGAUUAUAAGUAUGCAUUGAGCCGACGUGGAAGCUAAGCCAACGUUGAAGUGUCACCUCCUUGGUGACACUCUGCAUCUGCUGCUCACGAGAAAGCUAAAGUGUGAUUCCGCAGUUACUCUUGACCACCCAGCCUUCCUUGCUGCAUGAAGGUUCGAUCAAACAACGAAAUUCGUCAACAGACUUGGCACUGUUAGAGUCCCAUGUGUAACGUGUUCUACCACAUGAAAGCUCUUUCUGCACCAAUUACGCUCUAGACAGAUUUAGUCGCUCUCUGGGCCAGCUGCUCAAAUGCAUCCUUUUCUACAUGGAAGAUACUUAGAUCAGGCCCCCAGCCAGUGGCAAGGAUUCCCAGACUUGGAGUCUAGAAGAAACUCAACGGAACUUUUCCAAUUCUGGUGCCAUCCCCCAAAUUCAUUCAUCAGGAACAAAGAAAAGGUAGCUGCUCUUCAAGCUGCCAGGAAACCAUGUGCAGAACAUUCCAUGUGGCUCCAGGUAUGGCAAACCUGGUUCAAGGCACCAGAGCGGAGUCAUCAUCAUCCCUGGGCCAAUGGAGCAUCUACAAGCCUCUGAUGGGCAGCAUGGAUACCCUCUGGUCAAGCCUGAAGGCAGAAGGGAUAAAAUCAGCCAAAGUGACUCAACUCCAUCUAGGAGCCACUGGUACAAGGGCCUAUGAAGGAGAAGGAUGCGGUGUUACUGACAGUUGUCCCAUCUCCACAGGCCAAACCCAAAGAUCAAGGCUUCUAAACUCCAAGUAGCUCCUGUGUAACCUGGUAAUUCCUUAAUCAGGGAGCAGCAUCUAUGAGGACCCUUCAAAGGACAGAACCUGCUCAUCAGCUUCUCAAAGUGAGAUAUGUGUACCUGUGACAUCACUGGU
Long non-coding RNA from Microtus ochrogaster (prairie vole), 936 nucleotides. RefSeq lists it as uncharacterized. The transcript has 4 exons. The record is from RefSeq and is a predicted model, not a curated record. NCBI's taxonomy places the organism in Eukaryota, Metazoa, Chordata, Mammalia, Rodentia, Cricetidae.